AUUGAACGCUGGCGGCAGGCCUAACACAUGCAAGUCGAGCGGAUGAAGGGAGCUUGCUCCUGGAUUCAGCGGCGGACGGGUGAGUAAUGCCUAGGAAUCUGCCUGGUAGUGGGGGAUAACGUCCGGAAACGGGCGCUAAUACCGCAUACGUCCUGAGGGAGAAAGUGGGGGAUCUUCGGACCUCACGCUAUCAGAUGAGCCUAGGUCGGAUUAGCUAGUUGGUGGGGUAAAGGCCUACCACGGCGACGAUCCGUAACUGGUCUGAGAGGAUGAUCAGUCACACUGGAACUGAGACACGGUCCAGACUCCUACGGGAGGCAGUAGUGGGGAAUAUUGGACGAUGGGCGAAAGCCUGAUCCAGCCAUGCCGCGUGUGUGAAGAAGGUCUUCGGAUUGUAAAGCACUUUAAGUUGGGAGGAAGGGCAGUAAGUUAAUACCUUGCUGUUUUGACGUUACCAGCAGAAUAAGCACCGGCUAACUUCGUG
This 484-nucleotide ribosomal RNA is filed under the name uncultured bacterium. Its description in RNAcentral is "partial 16S ribosomal RNA". It matches the Rfam family "Bacterial small subunit ribosomal RNA", at positions 30 to 507 of the family's 1533-position model. The record is from RNAcentral.